RNAcentral lists this long non-coding RNA (344 nucleotides) under Manacus vitellinus (golden-collared manakin). RNAcentral describes it as "lncRNA (ENSMVIG00005011807.1)". Lineage: Eukaryota; Metazoa; Chordata; Aves; Passeriformes; Pipridae. The record is from RNAcentral.
ACUUAAAAGUAUAACUCAAAAGCUGAGUGAUGGUCUGAUGUUAUUCUUCUUGCUUCCAGCCUCAGGAAACAACUUCAAGGUCUCAUACCUUCAAAAACAAGUCUUUUAAAAAAUCCAGAAUCUGUGGAAUCUGCAAACAAGUAAUUGACAGCCAAGGAAUUUCUUGCAGAGUCUUCUCCCUUGCUGUGUAGAAUUGAGCCUACUUCUCCAUGGGAUGCCUGUGAUGAAAUUAAAUGUUGGGAAAGCUCAACAGCAUGGACUUCAUAAAGAAGAGUUCUGGAAAAGCUGGAACUGAAAGUUACCUCUUUCUUUGCCAGCACUGCAGUAGUUGAAAUGUACGCUAG